This 662-nucleotide ribosomal RNA is filed under the name Gloeotrichia echinulata FACHB-419. RNAcentral describes it as "bacterial SSU rRNA". It matches the Rfam family "Bacterial small subunit ribosomal RNA", at positions 99 to 795 of the family's 1533-position model. Lineage: Bacteria; Bacillati; Cyanobacteriota; Cyanophyceae; Nostocales; Gloeotrichiaceae. The record is from RNAcentral.
CGGACGGGUGAGUAACGCGUGAGAAUCUAGCUUCAGGUUCGGGACAACAUUGGGAAACCGAUGCUAAUACCGGAUGUGCCGUGAGGUGAAAGGCUUGCUGCCUGAAGAUGAGCUCGCGUCUGAUUAGCUAGUUGGUAGUGUAAGGGACUACCAAGGCGACGAUCAGUAGCUGGUCUGAGAGGAUGAUCAGCCACACUGGAACUGAGACACGGUCCAGACUCCUACGGGAGGCAGCAGUGGGGAAUUUUCCGCAAUGGGCGAAAGCCUGACGGAGCAAUACCGCGUGAGGGAGGAAGGCUCUUGGGUUGUAAACCUCUUUUCUCAAGGAAGAAGUUCUGACGGUACUUGAGGAAUCAGCAUCGGCUAACUCCGUGCCAGCAGCCGCGGUAAUACGGAGGAUGCAAGCGUUAUCCGGAAUGAUUGGGCGUAAAGCGUCCGCAGGUGGUUGUGUGUGUCUAUUGUCAAAGCAUCAUGCUUAACAUGAUAAGGGCAGUGGAAACUACACAACUAGAGUGCGUUCGGGGCAGAGGGAAUUCCUGGUGUAGCGGUGAAAUGCGUAGAGAUCAGGAAGAACACCGGUGGCGAAAGCGCUCUGCUAGGCCGUAACUGACACUGAGGGACGAAAGCUAGGGGAGCGAAUGGGAUUAGAUACCCCAGUAGUC